GGGCGGGCCCUGCCUCGGCUGGCUCUUCUCCUCCUCCUCCCACCCCCAGCAGACGGCCGCUGGGGCGCGCGCCUCGCCUCACCCCACCCGCCUCCCCGGACCCUCCGAGGGGCCUGCCGAGCUCCGAGGCCGUGUGACAGCCCGCCGAGCGGUUCCGGGUGUAGGGUUCACAGGAGAUGGCAGAUAGGUACUUUGGACCUGUUGGUAAUGAUGGCCUGAGCUAAAAACAUCUAAUUUGAAGGGACACCCUUCCGUGUCAAAGAACAGAAUGCUGAGGAAGCUGUGGCAAGUGAUUGGAGUUGUGCUUCAAAAAUUUCAGCAGUUCAACAGUAUUUUAUCUGCCAACAAUAAGCUCUUUACUUGAUUGCACCAUGAAAAAGCUGCUAAUGAGACUUGUUGAGCACAAAAACGGACUUGAAGAACCAAAAGCCAUUGUUUUCAAAUGAAGAAUACUGAACGGUUUUAAGCCUCAGUGCUUUUCAAUCACCACUGAGGUUUUCCCCAUAGCAACAGAAUGGCAAGCAGGCGAAAAUCAACAACACCCUGCAUGGUCCUUGCCAGUGAACAGGAUCCGGACCUCGAGCUGAUAUCAGAUUUGGAUGAAGGGCCUCCUGUACUCACGCCUGUGGAAAACACCAGAGCAGAGAGCAUCUCAAGCGAGGAAGAAGUUCAUGAAUCUGUGGAUUCUGACAAUCAUCAAAACAAAAAAGUUGAAGGUGGCUAUGAAUGUAAAUAUUGUACUUUUCAAACUCCAGACCUAAAUAUGUUUACUUUUCAUGUGGAUUCAGAACAUCCCAAUGUAGUGCUAAAUUCUUCCUAUGUUUGUGUCGAAUGCAAUUUUCUUACCAAAAGGUAUGAUGCACUUUCUGAGCAUAAUCUGAAGUACCACCCAGGAGAAGAGAAUUUUAAGUUGACUAUGGUGAAACGGAAUAACCAGACAAUCUUUGAACAAACCAUAAAUGAUCUGACCUUUGAUGGUAGUUUUGUUAAAGAGGAGAACUCAGAGCCAGCUGAAUCUACAGAAGUUUCUUCAGGAAUCUCUAUCAGUAAAACUCCUAUCAUGAAAAUGAUGAAAAAUAAAGUGGAGAACAAACGGAUUACAGUUCAUCAUAACUCAGCUGAGGAUGUUCCUGAAGAGAAAGAGAAGGAAAUCAAACCAGACCGUGAAGAAACUGUGGAAAAUCCAAGUUCUUCGGCUUCUGAAUCUAAUACCAGUACUUCCAUUGUCAACAGAAUACCCCCAAACGCCGCCAGCGCGGUAGUGGCCCCAGCGGCGGUCCUUCCUGGAUUAGCGCAGGUGAUUACCGCCGUGUCAGCCCAGCAGAAUUCCAAUUUGAUUCCCAAAGUCUUAAUCCCUGUUAAUAGCAUUCCUUCCUACAACACUGCAUUGGAUAACAACCCCCUUUUGCUUAACACCUACAACAAAUUCCCUUAUCCAACGAUGUCAGAAAUUACUGUUCUUUCUGCGCAAGCAAAAUAUACAGAGGAACAGAUCAAGAUCUGGUUUUCAGCCCAACGUCUAAAACAUGGUGUGAGCUGGACUCCCGAGGAAGUAGAGGAGGCAAGGAGAAAGCAAUUCAAUGGAACAGUACACACUGUACCUCAGACCAUAACUGUUAUUCCGACACAUAUUUCCACAGGGAGUAAUGGCUUGCCAUCCAUUUUGCAGACAUGCCAAAUUGUUGGUCAGCCAGGCCUGGUCCUUACACAAGUAGCUGGAACAAACACCUUGCCGGUAACAGCCCCGAUAGCCUUGACGGUGGCAGGGGUGCCGAAUCAAACCAGCAUACAGAAAAGUCAGGCCCCCGCUGCCCAGCCUCCUGCAGAAACAAAGCCAGCAACAGCAGCAGUCCCAGCUUCUCAGCUUGUCAAACAUGAAACCGCGCUGGCAAACCCCGAUUCAUUUGGCAUUCGGGCAAAAAAGACUAAAGAGCAACUGGCAGAAUUAAAAGUCAGCUACCUUAAAAAUCAGUUUCCUCAUGACUCAGAAAUUAUCAGACUUAUGAAAAUCACAGGCCUGACAAAAGGAGAGAUUAAAAAAUGGUUUAGUGACACAAGGUACAACCAGAGAAAUUCAAAGAGUAACCAGUGCUUGCAUCUCAAUAAUGAUCCCUCCACCACCAUCAUUAUAGACUCCAGCGAUGAAACCACCGAAUCCCCAACUGCUGUUACUUCACAGCACAAACAGUCCUGGAACCCCUUCCCGGACUUUACGCCCCAGAAGUUUAAGGAGAAGACAGCAGAACAGCUUCGGGCCCUUCAGGCAAGUUUUCUCAACAGCUCCGUACUGACAGAUGAAGAAUUAAAUAGGUUAAGAGCGCAAACCAAACUGACGAGGAGGGAAAUUGAUGCUUGGUUUACAGAGAAGAAGAAAUCAAAAGCUUUAAAAGAAGAGAAAAUGGAAAUAGAUGAAACUAAUGCAGGUAGUUCCAAAGAAGAAGUGGGAGAAACUCCUCCCACAGAUGAAUCCGCUGCACCUAAGCCGGGGAGUGCAGGCAAGAUAUGUAAAAAAACACCUGAGCAGUUGCACAUGCUCAAAAGCGCGUUUGUCCGAACACAGUGGCCAUCACCAGAAGAGUAUGACAAGCUGGCUGAAGAAAGCGGGCUUGCUAGAACAGACAUUGUUAGUUGGUUUGGGGACACCCGUUACGCUUGGAAAAAUGGAAACUUAAAAUGGUACUACUACUACCAAAGCGCCAAUUCGAGUGGUCUGAAUGGUCUGUCGUCCCUAAGGAGAAGGGGGCGAGGGAGACCCAAAGGACGGGGAAGAGGAAGGCCACGCGGGCGACCUCGAGGGGGCAAGAGAAUGAAUAACUGGGACAGGGGGCCGUCACUCAUAAAAUUUAAAACUGGAACUGCAAUACUUAAGGAUUAUUACCUGAAGCACAAAUUUCUUAAUGAGCAAGACCUUGACGAACUUGUUAACAAAUCACACAUGGGCUAUGAGCAGGUCAGAGAGUGGUUUGCCGAAAGACAGAGAAGAUCAGAGUUAGGGAUAGAAUUAUUUGAGGAAAAUGAGGAGGAAGAUGAAGUCAUUGAUGAGCAGGAAGAGGAUGAAGAAGAAACAGAUGAUAGUGACACUUGGGAACCCCCGCAACAUGUGAAGCGGAAGCUUUCUAAAUCAGAUGACUAAAAUGAAAGAAUUCAAAAACGAAAACUAAAAAGAAGGGGAAAAGUAUACUGAAGGAAAGACUUGCCACAGGGGUGAGGACUGCUCAGUUUUAGAAAACUAGCUGCCUAAAACAUUGGAGGAGAAUCAAGUCUUCACUCAAGAUGUCUGAUUUACUGUGAAUGGGCCCAAUCUUUAAUGACACUGAAAGCGUUUGGGGGCAUACACAUUCUCAAAAAAUAGGAUCCAAUACCCAAAAGAAAUGGAACUUAAUGUUGUGCCAAAGUUAAACUACUGCAGCUGGUGAAAGUUCUGCAAUGUAAAUAGGACACUAAUUUAAAAACAAAUUGUAAAGAUUCAAAUUUUAAUACAGUACAUUUUUAUUCUGAUAUGAUGGAGACAUUCUGACUCUUAGACUUUCGGAGGGGGUUUAAUGACCACUAGAGCUUGUCCUCAUAUUUUGUCCAGCGUAACACUGUAUGUCUAGUAAGAUGGGCCAUAUUGUCUGUAUUCUUUGAUAUGUGAUUAAGCUAAUAGCUUUGAGUGACCAAACAUUUUCCAGAGUAAAAAUUGUUAGAAACAGGAAAUAGAAAAAUCUGACUUAUUUCUGUGUCUUAUUUAUCAGGCCCUGCACGAAAAUAAAAAGUUAUGCAUAGGCUUAUACGUUCUCAGUGUAAGUGAAAAUACAGCCGAUUGACACAUGUUGGAACAAUAAGAUUUUGUGGUAUUAUUGGCUCUUAAUGAUGGGAUCUUUCAGAGAUACCACUAUGACAGUUGUAAUGCUUCUGUUACAUUUUCUUUCAUUUGAAGCCGAAUUUACUUUUUGUUAAAUUGAAGAUAAUCAACACUGAAGAAGGAAAAGAAACUGGCAUUAAGAAUUUGGAUAGGGGGAAACUCUGAAAUAAAUACUGUACCAAUCAUAUGGAAAUCAGAAGUGUGUCAGAUCAGAAUUUUCAAGAAUUAUUCUUUCAGUGAAAUUCUACUUUGUGUAACAAUUUCAGUGAAUAGAGAAAAAAUUCUGAACUGAUCAUAAGGAGUUAAAAGUUAGCUUUUCACUUAUGAAUCAUGGAAGUGUUCAUUGUUAACUCUUGCCGUAUGAGAAGACUGAAAGUUUCUACUAACUUAUAAACUUUGUAAAGACAGGUGCUGUUCAUUCAUGUUGAAAGGACCCUUUCUUUUGUGACUAUAGGACCAUUUUUCAAAACGUGCUCUCUUCAUAGAAGAAAUGUUCAGUUCAAUUAGCUUUGGAUUUAAAAAAAAAUUUCUUCUGAAUGACCAGAUGUAGCGGGCUUGGUCAGUUUAAUCUAAUUUAAUGAAUAAUAAAUAUUAAAUUCUUGUUUUACCUAAAUGUUUGUUGGCUAAUGAAAAUGUCAUGAAAAAGCCUUGAAUAUGCAUGCUGCUUUCAUUUUUAUAAACUUUUUAUUUUUUAACUAUAGCUUUAUGCUUUAUUAGUAAUUCCAAAAUGCUGCAGUUUAGCCAAUUUCUUCACUCAGACAGCUGGCUUUGUGGGUGGCUUUUUCAUACUACUGUUAACUUUUUAAAAAAGAAGCAAUGUAAAGACUGUAACAAUUUAAUGCACUAAACUGUUCUUUCUUUUACACGUUUAAAAACUUCUUA
Molecule: RNA transcript, 4726 nt
Organism: Pteronotus mesoamericanus
Lineage: Eukaryota; Metazoa; Chordata; Mammalia; Chiroptera; Mormoopidae
Gene: ZHX1
Gene name: zinc fingers and homeoboxes 1
Exons: 5
Source: RefSeq, a predicted model, not a curated record